CUAAAUUCUUAAACUUGAUUCAAUACAUCGCCAAUGACCUGCAAAAAUAUUUCUUGUCACCACCUCUUAUAAAUCUGCAAAUAAAAAAAAAUAAAAUUAGUUUUUCAACAUUCGUUGAUCCUUGAAUUGAUAAUGCAAACAAUAUAAAAAUAAAGAGGCCAAGUACAUAGAUAACAAUGUUGGCUAUGAACUAUAUAACAGACAGAAACCGACAUUAAUGCAGUUCAUAUAACCAAAUAUCGAGCAUUAAGAGUAACAAAGAAACUGAGUAACUUUGAGAUUUCAUUUUCCCUAAUAAGUAUAUGAAACUCAAGNAGGGGGAAGAGAGAGAGGGCCCUCUAUGUUGAGGAGGAAAUGUGAGACUACUCUCUAUACUGAGGAGUAGAAACAGGGGAAAAGUCUAUGACACUACAAUAGUCCCAUAGUCGGAUCGUUAAUCAGCAGCGAGUAGCGGUGCAGGAUAUCAACACUACAACAGGUAUAAGAUUUAGUGGCGACAAAUGUCGCCACCAUAGCCAGAAUUGUCGCCACCAAAAAUGUUUUGGCGGCGACAAUCUGUCGUCGCAUGCCGCCGCCUAAAACCCUGUCGGUAAAACUAUUUAACGGCGACAAUGUGUCGCCGCUAAAAGUUAGAUAAUUCGCGGCGACAUUGCCUACUGUCGCCGCGAAAACUUUACAGCAUAUUUUAUCACUAGUUUUAUGGUGGCGACUAUCGUCGCCACCAUUUUUCUGAUAUAAAAUUAAUUUUUUUAAAAAAAUAAUUGAUAGUAAUAGAUAUUAUUGAUUUAGUAUAAAAUGCUAAAAAAUAACCUAUACUUAUAAAAUUUUUUAUUUUUAAAUUUUAACCUUUAAUUUUAAUCUAAUCCUCUCAAAACCAAAUAAAAUUUAGGACAAAGAAAGCCAAUUCUCAUAAAUAUGACAGAAAGCUUUCGAAACAAACCAAGAUCAACAAGCAGAAAUCUUACAUUUUGCAUUGAAUUGUCUCUCACAACAGAAAGAAGUUUAGGACAAUAUAUAAGUAAGACUGAAUCAUCAUAUAUAAGUAAUACAAUCAUUCAACACAACCAAAAAAUAAAACACAAUAAUAAUAUUUUUGUCAUUUCCACAUGCUAUCAAAGUUUUCAAAAUAUAUCUAAAUUCUUAAACUUGAUUCAAUACAUCGCCAAUGACCUGCCAAAAUAUUUCUUGUCACCACCUCUUAUAAAUCUGCAAAUAAAAAAAAAUAAAAUUAGUUUUUCAACAUUCGUUGAUCCUUGAAUUUAUGCAAACAAUAUAAGAAUAAAGAGGCCAAGUACAUAUAUAACAAUGUUGGCUAUGAACUAUAUAACAGACAGAAACCGACAUUAAUUUAGUUCAUAUAACCAAAUAUCGAGCAUUAAGAGUAACAAAGAAACUGAGUAACUUUGAGAUUU
RNAcentral lists this long non-coding RNA (1412 nucleotides) under Ananas comosus (pineapple). RNAcentral describes it as "long non-coding RNA (ACOM_LNC040806)". Lineage: Eukaryota; Viridiplantae; Streptophyta; Magnoliopsida; Poales; Bromeliaceae. The record is from RNAcentral.